Molecule: ribosomal RNA, 497 nt
Filed under: uncultured bacterium
Lineage: Bacteria
Description: partial 16S ribosomal RNA
Rfam family: Bacterial small subunit ribosomal RNA
Source: RNAcentral
GAUGAACGCUGGCGGCGUGCCUAAUACAUGCAAGUCGAACGAACGCACGAGAAGAUUGUUUCCUUGCUGUUAGCGGCGGACGGGCGAGUAACAAGUGGAUCACCAUCUUCUUAGUCUGGGAUAAUUUCGGGAAAAAGGAGACACUAAUGCAUGAUAUUUUGAACCGCUUAGAUCAAAAGUGCUAGACGCCCUUGCCGUCUCAUAUAGACGGUUCCGCGCUGGAUUAGCUAGUUGGUAAGGUAACGGCUAACCAAGGAAACGAUGCAUAGCCGACCUGAGAGGGUGAUCGGCCACACUGGAACUGAGACACGGUCCAGACUCCUACGGGAGGCAGCAGUGGGGAAUAUUCGGCAAUGGGCGAAAGCCUGAUCGAGCCAUACCGCGUGAGUGAUGAGGGCCUUCGGGUCGUAAAGCUCUUUUGUUGGGAAAGAAAAGAAGCAUAUGAAUCCCUGGACGUCUUGACGGUACCUAAAGAAUAAGCACCGGCUAACUUCGUG